This 489-nucleotide ribosomal RNA is filed under the name uncultured bacterium. Its description in RNAcentral is "partial 16S ribosomal RNA". It matches the Rfam family "Bacterial small subunit ribosomal RNA", at positions 30 to 523 of the family's 1533-position model. The record is from RNAcentral.
AUUGAACGCUGGCGGCAUGCCUUACACGUGCAAGUCGAACGGCAGCGGGGGAGAAGCUUGCUUUUCCUGCCGGCGAGUGGCGGACGGGUGAGUAACGCGUGAGUAACCUGCCUUUCGGCGGGGGACAACAGCUGGAAACGGCUGCUAAUACCGCAUAAUGUAUAUUGAGGGCAUCCUCGCUAUACCAAAGAUUUAUCGUCGAAAGAUGGACUCGCGUCUGAUUAGCUAGUUGGUGAGGUAAUGGCUCACCAAGGCUGCGAUCAGUAGCCGGACUGAGAGGUUGAACGGCCACAUUGGGACUGAGAUACGGCCCAGACUCCUACGGGAGGCAGCAGUGGGGAAUAUUGGGCAAUGGGCGCAAGCCUGACCAAGCAACGCCGCGUGAAGGAAGAAGGCUUUCGGGUUGUAAACUUCUUUGACGAGGGAAGAAAGAAAUGACGGUACCUCGAAAACAAGCCACGGCUAACUACGUGCCAGCAGCCGCCGUAA